RNAcentral lists this long non-coding RNA (753 nucleotides) under Olea europaea subsp. europaea. The record is from RNAcentral. Lineage: Eukaryota; Viridiplantae; Streptophyta; Magnoliopsida; Lamiales; Oleaceae.
CGUGAUUGUUACACAAGUUAUCUGUUUGAUUGCUGUAUUUUAGGAGUGAUUGAACAAAAAUGUCGUAACAAUUAACGGCAGGCAAAUUCGCUUUGGGACAUUGUGCUAUCACGAUACUCAAUCAAUCAAUAAAUUUUACUUUCUGUAUUUUACAGCUAUGCAAUUUACUGCAACUAAUUACUUUCCAACACACUAUUGCUAGGGUAGGAAUUCAGCUUCGAGUCUUGAUUUUUGAUCGAACGGAGUCUGGGAAUUCAGCUUGAGUCCUCAAAUUUACAAAAAUAAUGUCCCAGCUAGAAGUUAUUUUCCCAUGGGGAUUUUGGCGUCAAAGCUAUCUUCCAAUUUAAAGAAGGUCUUCAUUUGUUGAUUCUUCAUACUAUGCUUCGCAAAAUAGGACGAAUCUGAUCAAAGACGUAGAUCCCUUUCAUUCACCAUACAAGCUCCAAUUAGCUCAGCUAAUACCUCAAUCUUAUGUGGAAAAUUUACUCCAUUACCUACAACCAGUGCCUAACGGAAGAAUUAGAUUACCUUUUUGUGUUAGAGUGCCUCAUGGGGUGUUGAAGCUUUGCAGUAGCAUCGAUGGUGAUUACCUUCAGCCAACGGGUUUUGUUGGCGGUGAUUUUCUGGUGAAGGCAAUGAGUGAUUUUGAUUUUGGGGUGCGGUGUGGUGGCCGGGGUGGGUUGGGCAGUGGGAGUGGUUAGAAGAUUGUGGAUAGGGGGUGAAGAUGACUUUUUAGUUUUCCUUUUCCUUUUU